This 758-nucleotide ribosomal RNA is filed under the name uncultured Enterobacteriaceae bacterium. RNAcentral's name for it is "bacterial SSU rRNA". It matches the Rfam family "Bacterial small subunit ribosomal RNA", at positions 28 to 776 of the family's 1533-position model. The record is from RNAcentral. Lineage: Bacteria; Pseudomonadati; Pseudomonadota; Gammaproteobacteria; Enterobacterales; Enterobacteriaceae.
AUUGAACGCGGGCGGCAGGCUUAACACCUGCAAGUCGAACGGUAACAGGAAGAAGCUUGCUUUUUUGCUGACGAGUGGCGGAGGAUGAGUAAUGUCUGGGAAACUGCCUGAUGGAGGGGGAUAACUACUGGAAACGGUAGCUAAUACCGCAUAGCGUCGCAAGACCAAAGAGGGGGACCUUCGGGCCUCUUGCCAUCGGAUGUGCCCAGAUGGGAUUAGCUAGUAGGUGGGGUAACGGCUCACCUAGGCGACGAUCCCUAGCUGGUCUGAGAGGAUGACCAGCCACACUGGAACUGAGACACGGUCCAGACUCCUACGGGAGGCAGCAGUGGGGAAUAUUGCACAAUGGGCGCAAGCCUGAUGCAGCCAUGCCGCGUGUAUGAAGAAGGCCUUCGGGUUGUAAAGUACUUUCAGCGGGGAGGAAGGGAGUAAAGUUAAUACCUUUGCUCAUUGACGUUAUCCGCAGAAGAAGCACCGGCUAACUCCGUGCCAGCAGCCGCGGUAAUACGGAGGGUGCAAGCGUUAAUCGGAAUUACUGGGCGUAAAGCGCACGCAGGCGGUUUGUUAAGUCAGAUGUGAAAUCCCCGGGCUCAACCUGGGAACUGCAUCUGAUACUGGCAAGCUUGAGUCUCGUAGAGGGGGGUAGAAUUCCAGGUGUAGCGGUGAAAUGCGUAGAGAUCUGGAGGAAUACCGGUGGCGAAGGCGGCCCCCUGGACGAAGACUGACGCUCAGGUGCGAAAGCGUGGGGAGCAAACAGG